CUCUUGCCUUCUCUCGCUCUCUGCUUCCUCCCAUCUCAACCGCCCAUCUCCUACCCUGCCGCGCACACUUGCAAGUUCUGUUCGGGCAUUCAUCCACUUCGGCAAAGGCGAUUCUCUCGCUCUCUUCCCUGCGACAGCGGUCACUUUCUUUUCGACGGUGCGUUGCCAUCAUUGCCUCAUCACACAGACACAAGCACUCCGACACGGAACCCGAUCAGUCGCGUCGGCUUCGCCCAUCGGCGCGCAUCAUUCUGCGUUGUUGGUCGCACGACCCCUCUUCCCUCUCCCCGUUAUAUGCCAAGCCGCUCAUUUUGGCACGCAACCUCUCUAUUCUCUUCGCGCUGCGCGUUCACUACUGUGCCCGUGACGGUGGCAGGAUCCCUGCGAUCGAGCGUCUCGUCGGUUUCUCGGACACCCGACAAGUGCGCGUUCGUGCGCCGCCCCCGCUUAGUGUUUGUGGGCGCGACUACCUCGUCUUCCUUUAGCGUGUCCAACUGCGCUGACGCCGUCGGCGCCGUCGCCGCCGGUGUUUUGUAUCAACGUCGGCAAUUUCGCUUAGGCAUGACCACGCCACUGACGAACUGCGCUGGGCCGCAGGAGAAAGAUGGGUCAAAGGAUAUGAGCGAUGAAGAGUGGAGGCGUAUCCUCACAGCACAGGAGUACCAUAUUCUGCGUGAGAAGGGCACUGACCCCGUCGGUGGGAAGUACGACGACGUCUUCGACGAGGGGGAGUACGUGUGCGCCGGGUGCAAGACGCCGCUUUACCUGUCCUCCAUGAAAUUCGCCUGCGGCUGUGGCUGGCCCGGGUUUUACGACUGCAUCCCAAAGCGGGUGCGCGAGCAGCCGGACAAGGACGGCCGCCGUGUCGAGAUUGUCUGCAACGCGUGCAACAGCCACCUCGGGCACGUCUUCCGUAAGGAGGGCUUCCGAAAUCCACCACCGAACGAGCGGCACUGCGUGAACAGCACCUCCAUCAUACUGCGACCCACGCAGCAGCCGUAAGCCCGCCAAACACGUGUGGGCGAGUCGUUGCUCCUCCCCACACCCUCCUCCCUCCCCCUCUCUAUCGUGUGUCUGCCCAUGUUGUCUGUCAUCACACGUCACACACAUACACGUUGUAUGCUUGCGUAUGUGUGUGACGUGUGAUGACAGACACUGGCGGCACCCCCAUAGCUCUUCGAGCAACAAAUACACAAACCCGCAAUCUCUGCUUCUUAUUGUUGCAGCGCUGCUGAGUUGUUUGCGGACACACUCCACACGACGCGGGCAGUGCUGGCUUCUUUCUCCUUUUCUUCGUUCGUUAUGUAGUGUGGAUCCCGUGUGCUGAAGGUCGUAUGGGUGUCGAACCCAUGACGCCGGAGGGGAGAGGGCGGCGGGGGCGAUGGUGCAGAAACGCAAGUGAACGACGUAACUUAGGAGGCGGCAUCAUGGCAGCCGCAAAACAUGCAUACGCCGCAUGAUGCAGCUCUUGAUUUUUGUCUUCACUUCCCCUCCCUCCGCCCUCCUCCGCCCUGGCCCUUGUCCUCGACCCUCACCCCCUCCUCCGUUCGGUGUAUGCGUGUGCGCAUCUGUGUUUCUGCGCUCCACUACCAUUUUGCCUUUCCUAUUUCUCUGUAGACGCUGCCCUUCUCUGCAUCUCUAUACACAUCUGUAGGCAUGGCUGUGUGCGACGGGCGGCGCGGCGUGGCGCUACACAACACACUUAAACGCAUAACAUCAUACCCUCCUCCUCUCUUCACAUAUAAGACACAAGCGUAUGCUCUCCCCUGCGUAACACCGUGCUCUCUACCGCCCGCUUAAGGGAGCUCCAUCCAGCACGAAGGCGCGCCGUCGACGCACACAGGUUUGUAUAGUGCGCAGUAUGGAAGCGACGCCCUCCUCCACGU
This 1886-nucleotide unclassified non-coding RNA is filed under the name Leishmania donovani. RNAcentral's name for it is "gene:LdHU3.28.3850(CDS-product:SelR_domain_contai ning_protein_putative)". Lineage: Eukaryota; Euglenozoa; Kinetoplastea; Trypanosomatida; Trypanosomatidae. The record is from RNAcentral.